RNAcentral lists this ribosomal RNA (257 nucleotides) under Listeria monocytogenes. Its description in RNAcentral is "partial 16S ribosomal RNA". It matches the Rfam family "Bacterial small subunit ribosomal RNA", at positions 202 to 453 of the family's 1533-position model. The record is from RNAcentral. Lineage: Bacteria; Bacillati; Bacillota; Bacilli; Caryophanales; Listeriaceae.
GAAAGAUGGUUUCGGCUAUCGCUUACAGAUGGGCCCGCGGUGCAUUAGCUAGUUGGUAGGGUAAUGGCCUACCAAGGCAACGAUGCAUAGCCGACCUGAGAGGGUGAUCGGCCACACUGGGACUGAGACACGGCCCAGACUCCUACGGGAGGCAGCAGUAGGGAAUCUUCCGCAAUGGACGAAAGUCUGACGGAGCAACGCCGCGUGUAUGAAGAAGGUUUUCGGAUCGUAAAGUACUGUUGUUAGAGAAGAACAAG